This is a non-coding RNA of Podarcis lilfordi (Lilford's wall lizard), 1255 nucleotides long. The record is from the annotation of a GenBank genome assembly. NCBI's taxonomy places the organism in Eukaryota, Metazoa, Chordata, Lepidosauria, Squamata, Lacertidae.
UUCGUAUUGUCACAUUUAUUCAGGAAGAGAGCUUACUUGUAUGAGCACAUUUGUAUUAUAAAUAUGAAGGCCUGAAGAUUCUUGUCAUGAUGGCUAAUAGGUUUCUCUUUUUGCCAUUCUGUAGACUCAUAGUCAGGCUUGCAGCAGCAGGCAAGGGCUCUCACAACACUCAUUCUUAUUUUAUCUGAGAAAAGCAUGCCAUUACUCACCACAGCUAACAGUCCCUUGCUUCCUUGAGCCAGCUAUCUCAUUUCCAUACUUAUCAACACACCAACAUUGCCCAGUACUUCCAUGACACUGAGUUGCUUUGUAAUAUCCUUCCUCGUUGCACCGUGGAAUGAAAGUUCCUAGGGAUAGCAAAUGGUGCCCUUGUCAAUAAUACAAAUACUUGUAGAGCUAAGCAGGAAGAUAAACUUGCAUUUGUCUGGCCCUGACGUUCAAGGAGGGCUUUCUUUGACUGUUUGCACAGCAGGUUGAAAUGGUCAGGCAUACUGUUUCUCGCUCUCCCUCCCCCCGCCCACCACCAUCAGUUCUUUUGUCAGUAAGGUUCUUCCACACAAAUAGCAUUUAGAAGAGAUUGUGAGGGUGCAAAAGGGCUGCAAUUCAAAUUGUUAUCUUGAAAUAAAGAAAAACAACAACAAAGUGCCUUCAUUUUAUAAGAAGUGCAGUGACAACAACUGGUUCUGUUUAUCAUUGUGGCUCUCUGUUCUUCUCUCACGAAAGCUGAUAUUUCUGCCAUCAGCUUCAACGGAUUCAGUGCAAAUGUACUUGCAUAAAUUUAAAACAAACCACGUCUACUUGAAGAUCAGUUAGAAGAAUAUUGAGCAUGGGUUUCAUAUAGCAGUUUCCAUCAUCUACUGUUUGCUUCUGUUACAGGCACAGAAGAGCAGACUUUUACUGGGUUUGGCUAUAUCUGAGAAAAUACCUAGUACCUUUGUUAGAGAGAUACUACUUGAUUUACUACUCAAAAUAAAUAAAAGGCUUCCUUCACCAGUACUGUAGAUCAAUGCAUCUCUGCAAUGUGCACACAUAACAUUAAAAGGGCUAUUUUACUCCAUUUCACAUGGAUGAAGAAUAUCUGAGGCGUUAUGUACACUGGCAUUAACAGCCAUUGGCCCACCUUUCUGAGGAGUUGGCUGUGGUGAUUUUGUCUGAUUUUGCAGGUGCUGACCUGUACUGUGGAAGGAAUAGGUUUAAGGAAUGUGGAAGAGCUAUAUCCUCAGGUUAGGAUGGCCCAAGGGAAGGGGAUGAGUAU